AUUAAACCUAAUCUAACAAUCGAUUAAACCUAAUUUCUAUAUCCUAAUUACCUAAUUAAACCUAAUUAAGAAAUAGACUAAUCAUCACUAAAAUGACUCAAAUUCUAAGAGUUAUCUAAUGUUUCUAAUCAGGAUUAACAAAAAGACAUUGUCAUUAAUCAAAUUAACAACUAGAAUUAAAGUAGGUUAAUUAAGAAUUAAUGAGGAAUUAUUGAUGGAUUAGAAAGAACUAACACAUGGGCCAGAGGGGGUAAGGUGGAAAAACGGAUGAGGGGUGGAUAAGCCCACGAGGACGCUUGGGCCAAGAAAAAAGCUGGCAAAAAAACUCAAUCUCAAAACACCCAAAACCGGAUUCACCUGAAUAUCCAUCAAGAUGCACUUUCACGUUUAAACAAGCCAAAACAAAUGCUCCGGUCAAUAGCGAAAAAGACGAUUCACCAUCAGCGUCGAAUCUCCCACGGUGGCCACAUGAAUCAACACGAACUCAACGCGAAAUUCAAUAUCUCUUCUUCAAUUCAUAUUGCAUCGUUGCUUCGCUUCCGUUUCAAUGUGUUAUGUUGCAGAAUGAAGAUUGAGCUUUAUCCGGAUUUGUGCGUUGCGGUGGUAGAUGGAGAAGAAGAUGCUCCGCGUUCGUGUGUCGCGUGUGAGAUGAAUUUCGAAGUCCGUUCGUGUUGCACACUGAGGUGGCGAUGAUGAAUCGUAGCCUUCUUGAUUGAACCGCGAUGAUGAUGACUGAAGGGAGAUAUUGGAUUCUUGAGGAUGGUUGAGGCUAAAGAAGAGGUUGUCAUGAGGUUCUGUUAGAGGAAGAGAUAGAAUUUCCGGUUGGGAUUUUGGUUGGUUAGUUAGUUUUUUGGAAUUCAAUUACGGUUGUUGGAGGUUGAAGUUGUUAAGAUGCAGUUCGAAGUUGUUAUGAAGGUUAGAGAUUUCUGUUUUGAAGGUUUUGGUCUUUGGUUGGCAGUUAGGAGUUAGUUGCCGGUUGGUUAAAGUUGAGCGAAUUCGGUUAACAGUUGUGUCAAUUCUUGGUUUGGAGGUUAACAAUUUUUCUGCAUGAAUUGGUUCUAUUCCUUUUCUGUUUCUGUUGAGGAUUUGAGCCUGAAAGAUUAAGGGUGAAAAAGAUGGUGGAGUUCAGUUAUGUUUUGCCGGUUCCCGGUUCUGUUGGGUUCAGAGAGGGUUAUUGAAGGGCUUGGUCUGAAGUUAAUAUUGUUAUGUUUUUUGUGCAGGUUAGUUUAUACGGUUUGAGGCGUUAGCUUGUUUUGGUUAUGAGUUCAGUUUUUAGCCGAAAAUUCGGCCUUUGGGAUUGGCAGCUGCCGACUUCUUUUCCGUAGCUUGAAGCAACACCCUUGCAUCCUUAAUCAUCCAUUCGUAAGCAUGGCUUCGUGGUUUGGAAGCAUUCUCUAAGACCGGAGGUUCGGCGUCGGAUACGAGUUCAACGACGACGAUGGGGUCUUCGGUGGCCAUUCGAUAGGGAAUUGAACAAUAGAUGUAGAUAAGAGUUUGUUACAGUGAGAAGUGAAAUGUUUUCGUAUGUACAUAAUAUUUUGGUUAUGUUGGAUUUAAUGGUUGUAAAGGUUUACGGAAUUGUGAAAUGUUUUGCUUGGAUUGGUUAUAAUUAGAUAGCUAUAGACUUAGAUAGUAGUAGGAGAAGCAGGAAGAUAAUUGAAAUUGACCGAGCGAUCAAGAGUAGUAUCAUGAUGGCUUCUGCCACCACCAUCGUAAUGUGAGCCGUCAAUUGUGAAAUAUACAAGAAACCAAACCAGACGUACACUGCCGUCUCUUCACAAAGGUACCACCAAAAUUGGCAAUGAUUACCCUGGCCAAUGCAAUUUCCAAGCCAAACACAGUGAUGAUCCAACUGAAGGACAAGUUUGUCACAAUCAUGACAACGCUUUACCCGUGGAGGCUGCUCCACAUUGCAGUAGGUCCAUGUUCUGCGACUGAAGAAUACGUCCAUGUUCUGAUUGUUGAUCCAGGAGGAUACAAUCCGGACACCAACUUUGACCAAUAUGUUGCAUUGAGAGGUAAGGCUGGCCAUGGGAUAGAAAAUGGUUCACACAUGGACGGAUGUCGACGAAUCAUAGAAAUCAAGGACCGAGGCUUGUGAAGUGAAAGAUAAGUCUUACAUUUGGGUAGUGUAAAUUAUACUUGAUCUUGGAAUUGAACAUUGUAUGGUGAAAUUUAGAAUAUGAAUUGUAAUGGUUUAGGUUUGUAUUGAA
Lathyrus oleraceus (garden pea) is the source of this 2213-nucleotide long non-coding RNA. RefSeq lists it as uncharacterized. NCBI's taxonomy places the organism in Eukaryota, Viridiplantae, Streptophyta, Magnoliopsida, Fabales, Fabaceae. The record is from RefSeq and is a predicted model, not a curated record. The transcript has 2 exons.